RNAcentral lists this ribosomal RNA (254 nucleotides) under uncultured Singulisphaera sp. Its description in RNAcentral is "partial 16S ribosomal RNA". It matches the Rfam family "Bacterial small subunit ribosomal RNA", at positions 524 to 776 of the family's 1533-position model. The record is from RNAcentral. Lineage: Bacteria; Pseudomonadati; Planctomycetota; Planctomycetia; Isosphaerales; Isosphaeraceae.
GACGAACCGUGCGAACGUUAUUCGGAAUCACUGGGCUUAAAGCGCGUGUAGGUGGAUGGGAACGUCGGUCGUUGAAAUCCCCCGGCUUAACCGGGGAAGUGGCGCCGAUACGCCCCGUCUCGAGGAACGUAGGGGGAGCUGGAACUUCCGGUGGAGCGGUGAAAUGCGUUGAGAUCGGAAGGAACGCCCGUGGCGAAAGCGAGCUCCUGGACGUUUUCUGACACUGAGACGCGAAAGCCAGGGGAGCGAACGGG